Molecule: ribosomal RNA, 253 nt
Filed under: uncultured bacterium
Lineage: Bacteria
Description: partial 16S ribosomal RNA
Rfam family: Bacterial small subunit ribosomal RNA
Source: RNAcentral
UACAGAGGUCCCGAGCGUUGUUCGGAUUCACUGGGCGUAAAGGGUGCGUAGGUGGUGAGGUAAGUCGGAUGUGAAAUCUCCGGGCUCAACCCGGAAACUGCAUUGGAAACUACCUUGCUUGAGGGUUUGAGGGGGGACUGGAAUUCUCGGUGUAGCAGUGAAAUGCGUAGAUAUCGAGAGGAACACCAGUGGCGAAGGCGAGUCCCUGGACAACACCUGACACUGAGGCACGAAAGCCGGGGGAGCAAACAGG